Molecule: long non-coding RNA, 724 nt
Filed under: Panax ginseng (ginseng)
Lineage: Eukaryota; Viridiplantae; Streptophyta; Magnoliopsida; Apiales; Araliaceae
Description: long non-coding RNA (PGIN_LNC015792)
Source: RNAcentral
UUUAAAAUAAUUUUUUAGAAUUUAAUAAGUAUUUUUAAUAAUUAAAAUCUAAUUUUUCUAAUUUUUAAAUCAUUUUCGGAAAUUACAGAAAAUAAAAUAAAUAAAAUCCGUCGCUAAAGGCUAUAGCGACAGACAACCGUCGCUAUAGGUGUUCUUCAUCUCAAGAACACUGUCAGAGACAGUUCAAGGGGGGCUACUUUGACCAUGAAUAACUUUUUGGUCUUAAUGAAUCUGGGCAAUCUAUGAAUUGGGUCUUGUAGAGGAAAUACCAGACUACAAUUACCAACAAUAAUUACCUCAAAACAACAUCAUAUCUGAGAGAAAUCGUACCUCAAAGUAGCUGUCAGAGCUGUUCUUCGUGAAGAACAGUUCGUGAUGCCUACUUUGGACCUCUAUAACUUGACGAUCGUGCAACGUUUACGUGAUCUAUCAAUUCCAGUGUGUAGACAACAUGUAGGACUACAACUCUAACACUUAAAAUCAUCAUAACAACAAUAAAUCAAGCAUCUAAAGUAUGGUCAAACCUUAUCAAAAAAAACAACACUUAGAAAAUUCUGGGCUGCCCAGAAAUUGUCUGGUCAAUGCUGGUCAAUGGACUUUGACCUUCAAUAACGUUUAUUCCAAAAUAGAUAUCGACCUGAUUAGUUUUGGAGCUUAAAUUCCACAUAACAUACUACACAUAUCAACUUUUAGAACACAAAACAAAUUAAAGAUAACCGAGAUA